CCGCAGGUGCACGCCAAGGUCACGGCCGUGCCCUGCCGGGGUGGCGGCGCAGAGGCCUCUGAUCGCGCCCCCCCCACACCGCCUCCCCUUUAGUCAGCACCGAAAACCGCAGGGAGCCGGUGCUGUGCUGUCUAUCCAGCCAGGGGAUAAUCGUGGCUGAAAGUGUCCUGCGAAGGACGAGGCACUGAGAUCUGGGGGUUGGGGAAAUGGAUCGCCCAGAGGGAGACCGAGGGGGACUCCUCGGAGACAAGAGUGAGGCUGAGGCCAAGCGUUGGCGCCUGGGGGCUGCCCUGAUAGCAACAGCUUCUCCUUUUCUAAUAAAGAAAAAAACAACAGAGGACCAGAAGGACCAAACCUGUUGUGACAGCAUCCCAGGAAGCUGCCUGCUGGGGAGACACAGGAGUAUGGAAAACCCGUCUGACUGUGGGAUCUCCUGCUGUAGAUCUGCAGAAAGCCAUUUCCUGACCACUUGCCUGUCGUGUAUGCGGGAUUGAAAUGGCUUUUAUUUUGCACAGGCUGAAGAUGGUGAAUUGAAACAACCAUAAUAAGAGUGGCAGCCAAAAACAAGGACAUUUACAAAGGAUAGUUAUUGCUUAGAUUAUGAAUAUCAAAUUUCUAUUGACAUGAAAAAAUUACAUCUUACAGAGAUAUUAUAAAUGUUGUCAUUCACAAUGAAGCAUAACAGAAAAGAUUUUACUCUCAGCUGCCUGUAGAAUUAAGUCACAUGAGCCAUUCUUCAGAGAAAUGUGAAGCUGAAACUUAGAAGGAUGCAAAUUUCUAUGUAUUGGUUCAACACUAGCAUGGAGAAUUGCUAUAUAGGAAAGACCAGUGGGGAAUGUAAAGUUCUCGGGGCAGAAAGAGUUUCCAGUUCCCCACUCACUUGUUCAGCUUCACUCAAUGAAGAAUGUCCCUGCCAGUUAUGGGGAAGCUUUACUACCUUGUCAGAUCAACAGCAAAGCAGCCAAUGCACCUCAGCAACUCUGCAGAAGAGUCAGCUGAACCUCAGGAUCUUUUGCUCCAUCUCCUCCCUUAUUAUUGAACUUCUUGCUUGCUUACUGGGGUGUGGGCUCCAAACACUUUCAAGAAAGUCCUAGAAAUGUUCUCUCUGGACUACUGAAAAUAUUAUAACUUCUUGCUCCUGAUUUUGAGACCUUGAUUCUUGGGGGAACUUUAUGGUUUUAUGUACAUUUUAAAGGCUUUUCUUUAGCCAGUGGCUUUAUCUUAAUUCCAUCAAAACUUGGCUGAUGGCCAUGUGGGACAAAAGCACAUACUGGUGUUAGUCCUGCAGUUUAUGGCUCAUUAUUAUUUGUGAUUUCUAGAAUUUCUUCAUUUAAGCUUUGCAUAGCCAGCUUUGUUAAACUUUUGA
This 1366-nucleotide long non-coding RNA is filed under the name Cyanistes caeruleus (blue tit). Its description in RNAcentral is "lncRNA (ENSCCEG00000000119.1)". The record is from RNAcentral. Lineage: Eukaryota; Metazoa; Chordata; Aves; Passeriformes; Paridae.